Molecule: unclassified non-coding RNA, 156 nt
Organism: Cricetulus griseus (Chinese hamster)
Lineage: Eukaryota; Metazoa; Chordata; Mammalia; Rodentia; Cricetidae
Product: predicted gene, 27544
Source: Ensembl
UAGUCCACCUAUUUGUAGGCAGCAUUCAACCCUCCUGUGACUUUUUCCCCCGACAACUUUUGAGGUCUUUCUUCUGAAACAAAGAAGAAAUAGACAAACCAGAUUUGUCCUCUUGGAAAUGUGGUCCAGAUUUCUCUACUCCCAAUCUCCAAAACA